UACGGGGGGAGCAAGCGUUGUUCGGAUUUACUGGGCGUAAAGGGCGCGUAGGCGGCCACCGCAAGUCAAUUGUGAAAUCUCCGGGCUUAACUCGGAAAGGUCAACUGAUACUGUGCGACUAGAGUGCAGAAGGGGCAACUGGAAUUCUCGGUGUAGCGGUGAAAUGCGUAGAUAUCGAGAGGAACACCUGCGGCGAAGGCGGGUUGCUGGGCUGACACUGACGCUGAUGCGCGAAAGCCAGGGGAGCGAACGGG
Molecule: ribosomal RNA, 254 nt
Filed under: uncultured bacterium
Lineage: Bacteria
Description: partial 16S ribosomal RNA
Rfam family: Bacterial small subunit ribosomal RNA
Source: RNAcentral